ACCUGGCUGGCUCAGUUGGUGGAGCAUCAGACUCUUGAUCUCAGGGUGGUGAGUUCACGCCCCAUGCUGGGUG
Molecule: transfer RNA, 73 nt
Filed under: Mustela putorius furo (domestic ferret)
Lineage: Eukaryota; Metazoa; Chordata; Mammalia; Carnivora; Mustelidae
Rfam family: tRNA
About the family: Transfer RNA (tRNA) molecules are approximately 80 nucleotides in length. Their secondary structure includes four short double-helical elements and three loops (D, anti-codon, and T loops). Further hydrogen bonds mediate the characteristic L-shaped molecular structure. tRNAs have two regions of fundamental functional importance: the anti-codon, which is responsible for specific mRNA codon recognition, and the 3' end, to which the tRNAs corresponding amino acid is attached (by aminoacyl-tRNA synthetases). tRNAs cope with the degeneracy of the genetic code in two manners: having more than one tRNA (with a specific anti-codon) for a particular amino acid; and 'wobble' base-pairing, i.e. permitting non-standard base-pairing at the 3rd anti-codon position.
Source: Rfam by way of RNAcentral